Molecule: long non-coding RNA, 342 nt
Organism: Erigeron canadensis
Lineage: Eukaryota; Viridiplantae; Streptophyta; Magnoliopsida; Asterales; Asteraceae
Exons: 3
Source: RefSeq, a predicted model, not a curated record
GUGGAAGUGGUGGUGGUGGCCGAAUUUUCAAGGAAAGAGAGGGGAAGAAGAAUUUUCCAACCUAAGUCUUGAAUUAACUUAUUGUUUAUUGAGGUUGAAGCUUAUUUGUGCAUUAUCGUUUUAGCGUUAUUGUUCAAGUUGCGGACGAGGCGGUUCCGGAAAAAGGAACUAGUUGUGGAUUUAAAACUUGAAGAGAUAGAAGUUGCUUUUGGGAAAAAAGGUAGAAGGUUUGACCAUACUUGGAUGUAUGGUGCUUUUGGUAUAAAUACUUAGAUAUCCCAUCUCAUUGUGGCUCUUGGUACAUUCGAAUUGUGGUAAAUUGUCUUUUGAUUAUUUCAGAAA